GUGGGGAAUAUUGGACAAUGGGCGAAAGCCUGAUCCAGCCAUGCCGCGUGUGUGAAGAAGGUCUUCGGAUUGUAAAGCACUUUAAGUUGGGAGGAAGGGUAGUAACCUAAUACGUUGCUACUUUGACGUUACCGACAGAAUAAGCACCGGCUAACUUCGUGCCAGCAGCCGCGGUAAUACGAAGGGUGCAAGCGUUAAUCGGAAUUACUGGGCGUAAAGCGCGCGUAGGUGGUUCAGUAAGUUGGAAGUGAAAUCCCCGGGCUCAAACUGGGAACUGCUUUCAAAACUGCUGAGCUAGAGUACGGUAGAGGGUGGUGGAAUUUCCUGUGUAGCGGUGAAAUGCGUAGAUAUAGGAAGGAACACCAGUGGCGAAGGCGACCACCUGGACUGAUACUGACACUGAGGUGCGAAAGCGUGGGGAGCAAACAGGAUUAGAAACCCCAGUAGUCC
RNAcentral lists this ribosomal RNA (450 nucleotides) under uncultured bacterium. Its description in RNAcentral is "partial 16S ribosomal RNA". It matches the Rfam family "Bacterial small subunit ribosomal RNA", at positions 354 to 796 of the family's 1533-position model. The record is from RNAcentral.